Long non-coding RNA from Macrobrachium nipponense, 570 nucleotides. RefSeq lists it as uncharacterized. The transcript is spliced from 4 exons. Lineage: Eukaryota; Metazoa; Arthropoda; Malacostraca; Decapoda; Palaemonidae. The record is from RefSeq and is a predicted model, not a curated record.
AAAACUCCCCAGUGGGGUGCCGGUAGAUUUCGUUGCCCUCGACAAAACCUCCUGGUGGGGAGGAUUACAAGAAUCCAUCACCAACUAUUGUAGUAGGACCUGGAACGUACUUCGGCGUACCUAGCUGGUGCGUAGGCUCUACCUGCGAUGGACCUCCUUCAGACAACUGCACAGCACUGAGAGCACCCUAUAGCUGUUGUCCAGAAUAUGUAUGCGACGGCUCUCCUGUUAACUGCACAUCACCGAAUGGAACUGUACAUACCCCAUAUGAUACCUGGGUAGAGGACUGCCAAGACUGUUCUUGCUACUACUAUGAUUGGGAGAAGGCUGCUUCUAUGUAUUGCUAUCGCAUUUAUUGCUCCCAGAAACCUCACAGAGAUUGUGUGGUCAGUGGAACAUACGAUUCAGGAUGUUGCGAUGAAUAUUUCUGUGACAAUACAACAUGCAGAUCAGACAGGGGUCAGUAUUACGCCAUUGGGGACACCUGGAGCCCAGCUGACGAGCCUUGCAAGAAGUGCACCUGUCAGGCGGACGGAGACGCCACCAAAAACCGAAUGUGUCGCCAGAAAC